Long non-coding RNA from Parus major (Great Tit), 4318 nucleotides. RefSeq lists it as uncharacterized. The transcript is spliced from 3 exons. Lineage: Eukaryota; Metazoa; Chordata; Aves; Passeriformes; Paridae. The record is from RefSeq and is a predicted model, not a curated record.
AGAUAGAAGGGGAAAGAGGUGAGGAAAGAAGGGGGAAAGAGAAAAAAAUAGGGGAAAGAGAGAAAAAACCGAGGUGCGUGUAGCUGUGCAGUGGCAGCCUCGGGAGGGGGAAGAAGAGAGGGUGCUGGAGUGAUGCUGAGCAAUGCCAGCUGUGCCCAGCCCGGAGCAGCCAGUGAGCCCCUCUGCCUGUCCCCGGGCUGUGUCACACGGCGGGCAGCACUCAAAGCACGAUUCAUUUCAUUUCCCAUCCGUGAGGCACAACAAAUAACUCUGUGAGUAGUGUACGUGUGUGUGUGUGCGGCUCCUCUGCAAACUCUCACCUCCCCAGCACCGCCGGUACCACCCCAGCACACCGCUGGCUGCUUCCCAGAGCCCCGGCCCCCCUUCCUUCCCAGGCAGGCCUCUAGCUUUAAUAAAUGAUACUCAGUCCUGGAAGAAUGUGUAUUAGUGGCUUGAUGGACCAGAGCGACUCCACUAUGCAUGAAGCAUAUUAAACAUGGUAUCGACCCUCGCUUUCCACGGCAGUAACAUGCAUAACAAACAGGCUGGGGCCACGCUGCAGCUGCUCACACAACGCUGGGCACUCAGCGGGGCUGCAGUGACACCAGGGACAGCUGCUGGGGGGUUCUGCUGGCACAGGUAGAGCCCAGCUCUCCUGCAGUGAGUGGAUCUGGGGAAAUCGAAGGAGCUGGGACAAUCAGGGUUAUCCCAGACGCUCUGCCAUCACCUCCCUGUGUGGCAGAUCUGUGCGACGCUCCCCAGCCUUAUCUGCCCUGAUUUAUUCUUUAAUUGGCAAAGUGUCUCGUGCCGUAAAUAUUAGCAAGAGAGCAGCUCCUCCUGGAAAAGUGAGGCCUCUUAUCUGCCAUCGCCAUAUCCCUGUGUGCCCUUAUCACUCCAUCUCCUGCCUGUCACUGUGGCAUCCCGAGCCAGGCAGGAGAGACUCUGGAAAGGCCCCAAAACCUGCAUUUCUCCUACAGCUCUUCUGCUGGAGAACACGAGACUCUGUCCUUCCUGCAGGGCAGACCCACAUGGGGAUGGUUGGAUGAGGGGUACACAGCUGGCAGCAGCUCAGGAUCCCAGUUUGGGACCUCUUCACCAGAUGCAUCACAGUCCAUUUGAUUUAAAAUAAAAAAUUCAAAUCCAUUGCAAUCCACCUGAAGAAUAAAAACACCAAAAAGGACCCAUCUUGUGUCAGGCAAGCAGCUGCAAACUGACACUCAGGUGGAGCUGUAGAAGUUAAAACAAAAUAAAGCGUCUUGGAUCCUUUUAAUCCUCUGCUCCUGUAAUUUCAGCAUGUCCAAACAGAUUUUGGUGUGUGUUUAUAACUGGUAACUUCAUUUGCUCCUGGGCUGGGACCUUAAAUGCCAAGUUUCAUCUCCAAGUCAGUUUUUAAGAGUGAGUUACAUCAACUCCUGGGAGAAAAGGGGGCAAAAAGGAAAUACGUAAGGAUAUAAAAUAAAGUUGGGGGUUGUCAGAAAAAGCAGGUCCAAAAUAUCUAAGAGUGCAAAAAUCACAGAUUUCAUGGAUGUCUGUGUACAGACUGACAGCUCAAAGGUAGAAAUUAGUUUCCUGAUAGACAAACUAAAGCUAAUCUGUCUGAUAGAGCAAACACAUCUUGGGGCAGAGCUGGGCUCUCACCUGCCUGUCCCCACCCAGCUGGGUACCCAAGGCCUUCAGGGCUUUGAGUGUGUCCAUCACCAGCACAUGGGGUGGGGAUCUGGCCCCAAACCCCCAUCCCAAAGCAGUCUCAGCUCUGUGACUGCAGCAGAUCCCAGGGUUACCAGAGCCAGGGCUGCAAAUCCACCUUUGCAGACUCCCAACACAUGAAAUUACCAUAACCAGGACAUUUCACGCUACUCUCCCAUAAAGCUGUUUAGAGCAAAUUAAAUUUCUCCCUAACCAGGCUGUAACAGUUCAUGUUAGAUGUGGAUCUAAAUGUUAAUUGCAAUGACAAUAACAGGUCUGAUCCUGCAAUCCUUAUUUGAGUAAAACCUCCCACAGAAGCCAAAGGAAUUUUGCCCCAGAGAAGGCAGCUGGAUGCAGUCCCACAUUUCCAGUCUCUUGAAGAUGCCAGAAGGUAAGCCAGGAUAUUUCUGUGAUGUUACAAACCUUCUCUUUCCCUUUCCCCUCCCUUCCACCUCCCCUCAAUUCUUCAAUGCACUAUUAAUUUAAUAAGCUGCCCAGUGCUGUCCUCACCUUCAGCCUCACACUUCCCAGGAAGGACUUCAGUCAUCGUGGGGGGGCCACAUUCAGAUAAUUUUGGCAGCCUUGUACAUCUGGUUGAUGCAGGGAUGCUUGAAGGUCCUGUGCUGGCUGGGAGAACUGCCUGGAGAAACAGCUGCUCUUGUCCUCUGCACCCUUGGGUGAUGCCACCACCCUUUAGCCCGAGCUCCUGAGGAAGGCAAGCUGAUAAGGGCAAAGGGAUCCAGGUGCACAUGGGCCUCAGGAGGAGACAGACACUGAGAUCUGGGAGCUGGGACCACAUUCAGAACUUGGCACUUGAGCCCAGAAGGAGAGAGAGACACAACAAGAUUUUGGGAGACAAGUCAGAGAUCCUGGAGCCUGGAAGUGGGGUUAGUCCCUGAACAGAGCCUUGCCAAGACUCUCAGCAUCCCUCAGCCACAUCCAAACCCCUCCAGCUGCUGAGAGGGGCUCCUGCUCCUCGGGGAGACCCUGCAUGAAGGAACCAGCAAAGCUCCAGGACAAGCCACUUCUGUCAGUGCUGCAGAUUCAAACUGCCUUGUUUUGUUUCCCAGCAGCAUUUAACAGGCUGCUGAUGUUUGUUUAUGAAGUGAGAUGCACAUGAUUUAUUUGAUCUGCUGGAGAGCUGCAUUCCCACGCCAAGGACAGGCAGAGAUGUUGCAUUCUCCCCUCUUUUGGGGACUGCUGAGAUCAAAUCCUCCCUUGCACAGGCAGAGCUGCACUCUCAGCUGCUUCAAAACUGGACAUUAAAUCCUUAUUAGAAACCUCCAAACUGUGAAGCUGCAUUUGUUCUUGCCUGUUUCUGCAUAUAGAACAAGUGUUAAUAGAGUGUUCAGGCUCUUAAAACAGGUUUGGGGAAAAGGUCUCAGGGCACCUGGGCUCUGGUCUGGAUCCAGCUUGAAUAAUCCUAAGGGAGGUUUCAUCCUCUCCUUGAGCUUUUCUGGUGGAUGGGGUUUGGCAUGUCUCACCUGGCUUGCAGGGACAGUGGUUUAAUGAACUGCUUUGCAAAAUGACUUUACAAAUGGAGAGUCUACUCCUGCCUCUUUUAACACCUGGAGAUCUCUUUAUUCCAGCUCAUCACCCAGAGCAGGGCCUGGCUGCCAAAGAAGGCAGCAAAGAAAGCAUUAAGGGAUGGAAGAUGAAACGCAGCCCAUGAGCUGUGAGAUUUACAGCUCUCAGUGGAAAGCACGGGAAGCAUCACCCAUCCUGCCAGUGGGGCAGGAGCCAAACCCUCACCUGAUGGGAGCCAGAGCAGCACAGGAACCCUGGCAGUGCCUGGGCAGCAGCUGAAGCUCACCCCACACUGCUCACCAUGGCUCAGACACCACCUGAUUUACACCAGGGCUCGAGGAUUGUGACUCAGUCACUCAGAGACAGCUCUUCUGCUGGCCUUCCCCUGGUCCCUGCAUACAAAACACUUUGCAAAUGAAGUGUGAAGAUAAUAUGCUUUAUCAUGGGCAUUUAUUACCCGUGAUUGUGGUAUAAAUCUCCCUCCAUUCACAUACAUAUACAUAAGGUGUAUAUAAAUAUGCAGUAUCCGGCAGUACCCAGAGCCUUUCUGAUGAUGUCAAUGUAGCCCCCAUAAAGAUAGUGGGAAAUGAUUCAUAAUAUUUAUAUGACAGACAUGAUAUGAACUGUAAUAGCCUGUUGGGAUCGAGAAUAUCCAUAGGUCUCUGUCAGCCACAAAUGUGAUUUAAAUAUUAUAUAUGUGGCAACUGUAGCAUUAGUAAUAUGAUAGCUGUUAUUGAUAGUGGUCAUAAAAUGCAGUAGUUUUGCACUGAAGAAUGUGAAAAAUAAUCUAGUGGUUUUCCUAAUGGUCUUCCCAGCAAUGCACUGAAAGGAAGUGUACUUUCAAUGCCUCCUUUUUGCCAUGCCUCCUCCUCUCCUCCCCCCACCCCAAAUUACCAUUGCAUUCUCUCAGAUUACUGCCAGGGCCAUAUUUUACUCUGCUGAUGUCAGGUUGUGGCAUCUCAUCCCCCUGGGGCUGUCUGGGGAGGGCAGAGGGUCCCUGCAGAGCCCUGGGCUGUUGUUGAGGCCGUGUGUGCUGGGAGGGUCCUGUUGGUGCUUCCUCUGAGAACACGGAGCAGGAGGAGGGCAAAAAGCAGCAGGAGAGGGG